GAUGAGCGCUGGCGGCGUGCCUAAUACAUGCAAGUCGAGCGAACGGACGAGAAGCUUGCUUCUCUGAUGUUAGCGGCGGACGGGUGAGUAACACGUGGAUAACCUACCUACAAGACUGGGAUAACUUCGGGAAACCGGAGCUAAUACCGGAUGAUAUUUUGAACCGCAUGGUUCAAAAGUGAAAGACGGUCUUGCUGUCACUUAUAGAUGGAUCCGCGCUGCAUUAGCUAGUUGGUAAGGUAACGGCUUACCAAGGCAACGAUGCAUAGCCGACCUGAGAGGGUGAUCGGCCACACUGGAACUGAGACACGGUCCAGACUCCUACGGGAGGCAGCAGUAGGGAAUCUUCCACAAUGGGCGAAAGCCUGACGGAGCAACGCCGCGUGAGUGAUGAAGGUCUUCGGAUCGUAAAACUCUGUUAUUAGGGAAGAACAUAUGUGUAAGUAACUGUGCACAUCUUGACGGUACCUAAUCAGAAAGCCACGGCUAACUACGUG
Molecule: ribosomal RNA, 497 nt
Filed under: uncultured bacterium
Lineage: Bacteria
Description: partial 16S ribosomal RNA
Rfam family: Bacterial small subunit ribosomal RNA
Source: RNAcentral